UACGAAGGGGGCUAGCGUUGCUCGGAAUCACUGGGCGUAAAGCGCACGUAGGCGGAUCUUUAAGUCAGGGGUGAAAUCCUGGAGCUCAACUCCAGAACUGCCUUCGAUACUGGGAGUCUUGAGUCCGGGAGAGGUGAGUGGAACUGCGAGUGUAGAGGUGAAAUUCGUAGAUAUUCGCAAGAACACCAGUGGCGAAGGCGGCUCACUGGCCCGGUACUGACGCUGAGGUGCGAAAGCGUGGGGAGCAAACAGG
This 253-nucleotide ribosomal RNA is filed under the name uncultured bacterium. Its description in RNAcentral is "partial 16S ribosomal RNA". It matches the Rfam family "Bacterial small subunit ribosomal RNA", at positions 524 to 776 of the family's 1533-position model. The record is from RNAcentral.